UCCCAGGUAGCUCAGAUGGUAAAGAAUCUGCCUGUAAUGCAGGAGACCCGGGUUCAAUCCCUGGGUCAGGAA
RNAcentral lists this transfer RNA (72 nucleotides) under Ovis aries (sheep). It matches the Rfam family "tRNA". From Rfam's summary of the family: Transfer RNA (tRNA) molecules are approximately 80 nucleotides in length. Lineage: Eukaryota; Metazoa; Chordata; Mammalia; Artiodactyla; Bovidae. The record is from Rfam by way of RNAcentral.